Molecule: ribosomal RNA, 2845 nt
Filed under: Paracoccaceae bacterium
Lineage: Bacteria; Pseudomonadati; Pseudomonadota; Alphaproteobacteria; Rhodobacterales; Paracoccaceae
Description: 23S ribosomal RNA
Rfam family: Bacterial large subunit ribosomal RNA
Source: RNAcentral
AAUCAAGCGCGAAAAGGGCGUUUGGUGAAUGCCUUGGCAGUAAGAGGCGAUGAAAGACGUGAUACUCUGCGAUAAGCCAUGGGGAGCCGAGAAUAUGCUUUGAUCCAUGGAUUUCUGAAUGGGGCAACCCACCUGACUGUUUGUUAUUGUUAGCUCUGCUAUCAAUAAUGAGCAUAAACAGGUACUUAUUACCUGAAUACAUAGGGUUUUAAGAGCAAACCCGGGGAACUGAAACAUCUAAGUACCCGGAGGAAAGGACAUCAAUUGAUACUCCCCUAGUAGCGGCGAGCGAACGGGGACCAGCCGAGCCAUAAUUGCGACCAGAACAUUCUGGAAAGGAUGACCAUAGUGGGUGACAGUCCCGUAUGGGAAGCAUGAUUGGACGUAUUAAGUAGGGCGGAACACGUGAAAUUCUGUCUGAAGAUCGGAGGACCACCUUCGAAGGCUAAGUACUCCUUACUGACCGAUAGUGAACCAGUACCGUGAGGGAAAGGUGAAAAGCACCCCGACAAGGGGAGUGAAACAGUCCCUGAAACCGAACGCCUACAAUCAGUCGGAGCACCCUAGCGGUGUGACGGCGUACCUUUUGUAUAAUGGGUCAUCGACUUGGUCUAUCUAGCAAGCUUAAGCCGUUAGGUGUAGGCGCAGCGAAAGCGAGUCUUAAUAGGGCGCAUGAGUUAGAUGGAUCAGACCCGAAACCGAGUGAUCUAGGCAUGACCAGGUUGAAGGUAAGGUAACACUUACUGGAGGACCGAACCCACACCUGUUGAAAAAGGUCGGGAUGAGUUGUGCCUAGGGGUGAAAGGCCAAUCAAACUCGGAGAUAGCUGGUUCUCCGCGAAAUCUAUUUAGGUAGAGCGUCAUCCGAAUACCCCGGGGGGUAGAGCACUGGAUGGGUAAUGGGGCCCCACAGGCUUACUGAUCCUAACCAAACUCCGAAUACCCGGGAGUACUAGAUGGCAGACACACGGCGGAUGCUAACGUCCGUCGUGGAGAGGGAAACAACCCUGACCUACAGCUAAGGCCCCCAAUUCAUGGCUAAGUGGGAAAGCAGGUGGGACGACCAAAACAACCAGGAGGUUGGCUUAGAAGCAGCCAUCCUUUAAAGAUAGCGUAACAGCUCACUGGUCUAAUUAAGUUGUCCUGCGGCGAAGAUGUAACGGGGCUCAAGCCAUGAGCCGAAGCUUAGGAUGCAUUUAAUGCAUGGUAGCGGAGCGUAGUGUGACAUAGCACCGUUCCUCUUUUGCGGUUUGGUAUGAGCAAUCAUACCCUGCGUAAUGGAGGAAAUGGUGUUUUCUGUGAAGCCGGGCUGUAAGGCAUCCGGUGGAGAGAUCACUAGUGAGAAUGAUGACAUGAGUAGCGACAAAGAGUGUGAGAGACACUCUCGCCGAAAAUCCAAGGGUUCCUGCUUAAAGCUAAUCUGAGCAGGGUGAGCCGACCCCUAAGUCGAGGCCGAAAGGCGUAGACGAUGGGAACCAGGUUAAUAUUCCUGGGCCAGGAGGAUGUGACGGAUUGUGAAGGUUGUUUCCCCUUAUUGGAUUGGGGAGGCCGCUGAUCAGUUCCUGGAAAUAGCCCUCCAUGAGAUCGUACCCUAAACCGACACAGGUGGAUAGGUAGAGAAUACCAAGGCGCUUGAGAGAACUACGUUGAAGGAACUCGGCAAAAUACCUCCGUAAGUUCGCGAGAAGGAGGCCCAGUUUCUACGCAAGUAUUGGCUGGGGGCACAAACCAGGGGGUGGCGACUGUUUACUAAAAACACAGGGCUCUGCGAAGUCGCAAGACGACGUAUAGGGUCUGACGCCUGCCCGGUGCCUGAAGGUUAAAAGGAGAUGUGAGAGCGUCGAAUUGAAGCCCAGGUAAACGGCGGCCGUAACUAUAACGGUCCUAAGGUAGCGAAAUUCCUUGUCGGGUAAGUUCCGACCUGCACGAAUGGCGUAACGACUUCCCCGCUGUCUCCAACGUAGACUCAGCGAAAUUGAAUUGCCUGUCAAGAUGCAGGCUUCCCGCGGUUAGACGGAAAGACCCCGUGCACCUUUACUACAGCUUCGCACUGGCAUCAGGCACAAUAUGUGCAGGAUAGGUGGUGGGCUUUGAAGCAGGAACGCCAGUUUCUGUGGAGCCUCCCUUGAGAUACCACCCUUGUUUUGCCUGAUGUCUAACCGCGGUCCGUUAUCCGGAUCCGGGACCCUGCGUGGCGGGUAGUUUGACUGGGGCGGUCGCCUCCUAAAGAGUAACGGAGGCGCGCGAAGGUUGGCUCAGAGCGGUCGGAAAUCGCUCGUUGAGUGCAAUGGCAGAAGCCAGCCUGACUGCGAGACUGACAAGUCGAGCAGAGUCGAAAGACGGCCAUAGUGAUCCGGUGGUCCCGAGUGGAAGGGCCAUCGCUCAACGGAUAAAAGGUACGCCGGGGAUAACAGGCUGAUACUGCCCAAGAGUCCAUAUCGACGGCAGUGUUUGGCACCUCGAUGUCGGCUCAUCUCAUCCUGGGGCUGGAGCAGGUCCCAAGGGUACGGCUGUUCGCCGUUUAAAGAGGUACGUGAGCUGGGUUUAGAACGUCGUGAGACAGUUCGGUCCCUAUCUGCCGUGGGUGUAGGAUACUUGAGAGGAGUUGCCCCUAGUACGAGAGGACCGGGGUGAACGAUCCACUGGUGGACCUGUUGUUGCGCCAGCAGCAGUGCAGGGUAGCUAUGAUCGGACAGGAUAACCGCUGAAGGCAUCUAAGCGGGAAGCCCCCCUCAAAACAAGGUAUCCCUGAGGGCCGUGGUAGACCACCACGUCGAUAGGCCGGAGAUGUAAGCGCAGCAAUGUGCUCAGUUGACCGGUACUAAUGGCCCGAUAGGCUUGAUUUG